This 365-nucleotide ribosomal RNA is filed under the name uncultured eukaryote. RNAcentral describes it as "partial 18S ribosomal RNA". It matches the Rfam family "Eukaryotic small subunit ribosomal RNA", at positions 592 to 976 of the family's 1831-position model. The record is from RNAcentral.
CAAUAGCGUAUAUUUAAGUUGUUGCAGUUAAAAAGCUCGUAGUCGGAUUUUGGCUGAGAACGAUCGGUCCGCCGUUAGGUGUGCACUGAUUGGUCUCAGCUUCCUGGUGAGGAGGUGUGCUUCACGGCCACUUAGUCACCGUGGUUACUUUGAAAAAAUUAGAGUGUUCAAGGCGGGCUUACGCUUGAAUAUAUUAGCAUGGAAUAACACCAUAGGACUCCUGUCCUAUUUCGUUGGUCUCGGGACGGGAGUAAUGAUUAAGAGGAACAGUUGGGGGCAUUCGUAUUUCAUUGUCAGAGGUGAAAUUCUUGGAUUUAUGAAAGACGAACUUCUGCGAAAGCAUUUGCCAAGGAUGUUUUCAUUGA